This 292-nucleotide ribosomal RNA is filed under the name uncultured bacterium. RNAcentral's name for it is "partial 16S ribosomal RNA". It matches the Rfam family "Bacterial small subunit ribosomal RNA", at positions 505 to 796 of the family's 1533-position model. The record is from RNAcentral.
GUGCCAGCCGCCGCGGUAAUACGGGGGUGGCAAGCGUUGUUCGGAAUUACUGGGCGUAAAGGGCGCGUAGGCGGCAUAGCAAGUCAGAUGUGAAAGCCCCGAGCUCAACUCGGGAAUUGCAUCUGAAACUGCUGUGCUUGAGUCCUGGAGGGGGUAGUGGAAUUCCCAGUGUAGCGGUGAAAUGCGUAGAUAUUGGGAGGAACACCUGCGGCGAAGGCGGCUACCUGGACAGUGACUGACGCUGAGGCGCGAAAGCUAGGGGAGCGAACGGGAUUAGAAACCCCCGUAGUCC